This 455-nucleotide long non-coding RNA is filed under the name Panax ginseng (ginseng). RNAcentral describes it as "long non-coding RNA (PGIN_LNC011542)". The record is from RNAcentral. Lineage: Eukaryota; Viridiplantae; Streptophyta; Magnoliopsida; Apiales; Araliaceae.
UUAGUCAGCUACUGAAGUCUUUUUAUGAUCAUCUUGUGGAAGACUUUACCUUGAAUAGCUUCUCAACUCAAUCUGGAUGCUGAUUAAGUUGAUGCUUAGAUCUUCUAUUAGCUUGCAUGUCAUUCGUUGAGUGCUCUCUGGCUUCCUUCAAGUGAGAUGUAUCUUUGCAUUACCAACCAGAGGCUUCAUUCCUUUGGAUAUUCUGGGAGUGCUCAAUUGUUGAGAAUCGUGUUUGCUCUACGAUUCUAUUGUGGCCUUGUGAGCACAUUUGUUAAGGUCUUAGCUCUGCAUUCUAUGAUUUAGCUUCGGCUGUGCAAACACUACGACUUUGAGAAAGAUCUUGAUACUACGAUUUGUCUUCAUCUGAUCUUGCUCGACUACGAUCUCUGCCUUUGAUACGAUCAGUAGACUCUACGAUUCUGAGUGCAGUCUACGAUUCUUGAAUUGGCUUUGAC